UACGUAGGGGGCAAGCGUUAUCCGGAUUUACUGGGUGUAAAGGGAGCGUAGACGGCAUGGCAAGCCAGAUGUGAAAUACCGGGGCUCAACCCCGGGACUGCAUUUGGAACUGUUAAGCUGGAGUGUCGGAGAGGCAGGCGGAAUUCCUAGUGUAGCGGUGAAAUGCGUAGAUAUUAGGAGGAACACCAGUGGCGAAGGCGGCCUGCUGGACGAUAACUGACGUUGAGGCUCGAAAGCGUGGGGGGCAAACAGG
RNAcentral lists this ribosomal RNA (253 nucleotides) under uncultured bacterium. RNAcentral's name for it is "partial 16S ribosomal RNA". It matches the Rfam family "Bacterial small subunit ribosomal RNA", at positions 524 to 776 of the family's 1533-position model. The record is from RNAcentral.